GAGAAUUACUUUUAUUUAUGGGUGAAUUACUCUUAAUCUAAACAUGAUAGCUUUUACUUUUAAAUUAUUUUUAUUCCAAAUACUUCUUUAUUACAACUUCUUUAUUGAACCUAGUCCACCACAUACUAUGCAAACUUAGGCAAAGCAGUCAUAUCUUUUGAAUAAGGAGAUUCACACCAUGCUCGGGCUCCAAAAGCAGACCAUAAGUAGGCGAGUGUUGGUAGUUUGGAGGGAUUGUAAGCUUGAAAUUGGAGAGUAUGACAGCAAACAAUACCUUCAAUUCUAUCAAGGCCAAAUUCUAUCCAGGACACACUCGAGAUCCCAAGCCAAAAGGUAUAUAGGC
RNAcentral lists this unclassified non-coding RNA (343 nucleotides) under Hevea brasiliensis (rubber tree). The record is from RNAcentral. Lineage: Eukaryota; Viridiplantae; Streptophyta; Magnoliopsida; Malpighiales; Euphorbiaceae.